This 121-nucleotide ribosomal RNA is filed under the name Streptomyces cellulosae. RNAcentral's name for it is "partial 16S rRNA". It matches the Rfam family "Bacterial small subunit ribosomal RNA", at positions 162 to 283 of the family's 1533-position model. Lineage: Bacteria; Bacillati; Actinomycetota; Actinomycetes; Kitasatosporales; Streptomycetaceae. RNAcentral also lists the same sequence under 1 other name. The record is from RNAcentral.
UCUAAUACCGGAUACUGAUCGCCUUGGGCAUCCUUGGUGAUCGAAAGCUCCGGCGGUGCAGGAUGAGCCCGCGGCCUAUCAGCUUGUUGGUGAGGUAAUGGCUCACCAAGGCGACGACGGG